UACGAGAGGCCCAACCGUUAUUCGGAAUUACUGGGCUUAAAGAGUUCGUAGGCGGCGCGGAAAGUCGGGUGUGAAAGCCCUCGGCUCAACCGAGGAAUUGCGCUCUAAACUACCGUGCUUGAGGGACCUAGAGGUGAGCGGAAUUCCUGGUGUAGCGGUGAAAUGCGCAGAUAUCAGGAGGAACACCGGUGGCGAAGGCGGGUCUCUGGGCCGAUACUGACGCUGAGGAGCGAAAGCGUGGGGAGCGAACAGG
This 253-nucleotide ribosomal RNA is filed under the name uncultured bacterium. RNAcentral describes it as "partial 16S ribosomal RNA". It matches the Rfam family "Bacterial small subunit ribosomal RNA", at positions 524 to 776 of the family's 1533-position model. The record is from RNAcentral.